CUUCAGUGAUGAUACGAUGACGAGUCGGAGCUGGACUCACUCUGGUUCUGCUGGUUUCUGGUUCAGAGUCACGUUCUGUGGUUCUGCUCCGGAUCCUCAGAGCGGGGAGUCUUUUCGAGUGAAGACAUCGAGGCAUUUGUCUGAGAAGG
Labrus mixtus (cuckoo wrasse) is the source of this 149-nucleotide small nucleolar RNA. The record is from RefSeq and is a predicted model, not a curated record. NCBI's taxonomy places the organism in Eukaryota, Metazoa, Chordata, Actinopteri, Labriformes, Labridae.